UCUACGGGAGGCAGCAGUAAGGAAUAUUGCACAAUGGGCGAAAGCCUGAUGCAGCAACGCCGCGUGCAGGACGAAGGCCUUCGGGUCGUAAACUGCUUUGGACCCUGACGAGCAAGGACGGUAGGGGUCGAACAAGUCACGGCUAACUACGUGCCAGCAGCCGCGGUAAAACGUAGGUGACAAGCGUUAUCCGGAUUUACUGGGCGUAAAGGGUGUGCAGGCGGGGGGAUAAGUGGUGUAUGAAAGUGCCCGGCUUAACCGGGCGAGGCUAUGCCAGACUGUCCUUCUGGAGCGCGAGAGAGGAGCGUGGAAUUCCGGGUGUAGUGGUGAAAUGCGUAGAGAUCCGGAGGAACCCCAGGGGCGAAGGCGGCGCUCUGGCUCGCGACUGACGCUCAGACACGACAGCAUGGGGAGCGAACGGGAUUAGAAACCCCGGUAGUCCAUGCCGUAAACGAUGCCGACUAGGCGCUGGUGGUUUGAACGCUGCCGGUGCCGCAGCAAACGCGAUAAGUCGGCCGCCUGGGGAGUACGACCGCAAGGUUAAAACUCAAAGGAAUUGACGGA
Molecule: ribosomal RNA, 564 nt
Filed under: uncultured bacterium
Lineage: Bacteria
Description: bacterial SSU rRNA
Rfam family: Bacterial small subunit ribosomal RNA
Source: RNAcentral